CAGCAGUAGCCGCGGUAAUACCGAGGGUGCGAGCGUUAAUCGGAUUUACUGGGCGUAAAGCGUGCGUAGGCGGCUUUUUAAGUCGGAUGUGAAAUCCCUGAGCUUAACUUAGGAAUUGCAUUCGAUACUGGGAAGCUAGAGUAUGGGAGAGGAUGGUAGAAUUCCAGGUGUAGCGGUGAAAUGCGUAGAGAUCUGGAGGAAUACCGAUGGCGAAGGCAGCCAUCUGGCCUAAUACUGACGCUGAGGUACGAAAGCAUGGGGAGCAAACAGGAUUAGAUACCCCAGUAGUCCCUGUCUCUUAUAC
RNAcentral lists this ribosomal RNA (304 nucleotides) under uncultured bacterium. Its description in RNAcentral is "partial 16S ribosomal RNA". It matches the Rfam family "Bacterial small subunit ribosomal RNA", at positions 506 to 807 of the family's 1533-position model. The record is from RNAcentral.